GCGGCGGACGGGUGAGUAACGCGUGGGAACGUGCCCUUUGCUACGGAAUAGCCUCUGGAAACGGAGAGUAAUACCGUAUGUGCCCUUCGGGGGAAAGAUUUAUCGGCAAAGGAUCGGCCCGCGUUGGAUUAGGUAGUUGGUGGGGUAAUGGCCCACCAAGCCGACGAUCCAUAGCUGGUUUGAGAGGAUGAUCAGCCACACUGGGACUGAGACACGGCCCAGACUCCUACGGGAGGCAGCAGUGGGGAAUCUUAGACAAUGGGGGCAACCCUGAUCUAGCCAUGCCGCGUGAGUGAUGAAGGCCUUAGGGUUGUAAAGCUCUUUCAGCUGGGAAGAUAAUGACGGUACCAGCAGAAGAAGCCCCGGCUAACUCCGUGCCAGCAGCCGCGGUAAUACGGAGGGGGCUAGCGUUGUUCGGAAUUACUGGGCGUAAAGCGCACGUAGGCGGACUGGAAAGUUGGGGGUGAAAUCCCGGGGCUCAACCUCGGAACUGCCUU
This 497-nucleotide ribosomal RNA is filed under the name bacterium EP1.03. Its description in RNAcentral is "bacterial SSU rRNA". It matches the Rfam family "Bacterial small subunit ribosomal RNA", at positions 95 to 627 of the family's 1533-position model. The record is from RNAcentral.